GGCCUCUCUCGGCAGCACAUAUACUAAAAUUGGAACGAUACAGAGAAGAUUAGCAUGGACCCUGAGUGGACUGAAAUAAUCUUGGCCUAGGUUAGAUUGUAUU
This 103-nucleotide small nuclear RNA is filed under the name Mus caroli (Ryukyu mouse). The record is from RNAcentral. Lineage: Eukaryota; Metazoa; Chordata; Mammalia; Rodentia; Muridae.